Molecule: transfer RNA, 71 nt
Filed under: Marmota monax (woodchuck)
Lineage: Eukaryota; Metazoa; Chordata; Mammalia; Rodentia; Sciuridae
Description: tRNA.Ala
Rfam family: tRNA (bases 8-64)
About the family: Transfer RNA (tRNA) molecules are approximately 80 nucleotides in length. Their secondary structure includes four short double-helical elements and three loops (D, anti-codon, and T loops).
Source: RNAcentral
GGAGUUGUGGCUCAGUGGUAGAGCACUUGCCUGGCAUGUAUGAGGCCCUGGGUUUGAUCCCCAGAAUCACA